GACGAACGCUGGCGGCGUGCUUAACACAUGCAAGUCGAACGGGAUCCAUCUUUCGGGGUGGGUUUAGUGGCGAACGGGUGAGUAACACGUGGGUAAUCUGCCCUGCACUCUGGGAUAAGCCUGGGAAACUGGGUCUAAUACCGGAUAGGACACUGUCACGCAUGUGGUGGUGUGGAAAGCUUUUGCGGUGUGGGAUGGGCCCGCGGCCUAUCAGCUUGUUGGUGGGGUUUUGGCCUACCAAGGCGACGACGGGUAGCCGGCCUGAGAGGGCGACCGGCCACACUGGGACUGAGACACGGCCCAGACUCCUACGGGAGGCAGCAGUGGGGAAUAUUGCACAAUGGGCGCAAGCCUGAUGCAGCGACGCCGCGUGAGGGAUGACGGCCUUCGGGUUGUAAACCUCUUUCGCCAGGGACGAAGCGUGAGUGACGGUACCUGGAGAAGAAGCACCGGCUAACUACGUGCCAGCAGCCGCAGUAAAAC
RNAcentral lists this ribosomal RNA (483 nucleotides) under uncultured bacterium. Its description in RNAcentral is "bacterial SSU rRNA". It matches the Rfam family "Bacterial small subunit ribosomal RNA", at positions 28 to 526 of the family's 1533-position model. The record is from RNAcentral.